This 119-nucleotide ribosomal RNA is filed under the name Pteropus alecto (black flying fox). Lineage: Eukaryota; Metazoa; Chordata; Mammalia; Chiroptera; Pteropodidae. The record is from RNAcentral.
GUCUAUGGCCACGCCAUCCUGAACAAGACCGAUCCUGUCUGAUCUCAGAAGCUAAGCAGGGUCGGGCCUGGUUAGUACUUGGAUGGGAGACCACCUUGGAAGACCAGGUGCUGCAGGUG